This 468-nucleotide ribosomal RNA is filed under the name uncultured bacterium. Its description in RNAcentral is "partial 16S ribosomal RNA". It matches the Rfam family "Bacterial small subunit ribosomal RNA", at positions 28 to 507 of the family's 1533-position model. The record is from RNAcentral.
GACGAACGCUGGCGGCGUGCUUAACACAUGCAAGUCGAACGGACAGGCCCUGCUUUUGUGGGGUGCUCGAGUGGCGAACGGGUGAGUAACACGUGAGUAACCUGCCCUUGACUUUGGGAUAACUUCAGGAAACUGGGGCUAAUACCGGAUAGGAGCUCCUGCUGCAUGUUGGGGGUUGGAGAGUUUCGGCGGUUGGGGAUGGACUCGCGGCUUAUCAGCUUGUUGGUGGGGUAGUGGCUUACCAAGGCUGUGACGGGUAGCCGGCCUGAGAGGGUGACCGGCCACAUUGGGACUGAGAGACGGCGCAGACUCCUACGGGAGGCAGCAGGGGGGAAUAUUGCACAAUGGGCGGAAGCCUGAUGCAGCAACGCCGCGUGCGGGAUGACGGCCUUCGGGUUGUAAACCGCUUUCGCCUGUGACGAAGCGUGAGUGACGGUAAUGGGUAAAGAAGCACCGGCUAACUACGUG